GCUGGACAUGGUGACAUGCGCCUGUAGUCUCAGCUACUCAGGGGGCUGAGACAAGAGGAUGGCUUGAGUCCAGGAGUUCUGAGCUGUAGUGUGCUAUGUAGAUUGGGUGUCUGCACUAAGUUCAGCAUCAAUAUGGUGACCUCCCGGGAGCAGGGGCCACCAGGUUGCUUAAGGAGAGGUGAACCGACCCAGGUUGGAAAUGGAGCAGGUCAAAGCUCCUGUGCUGAUCAGUAGUGGGAUCACACCUGUGAAUGGCCAUUGAACUCCAGCCUGGGCAACAGAGCAAGACCCCCAUGUCU
Otolemur garnettii (small-eared galago) is the source of this 299-nucleotide unclassified non-coding RNA. It matches the Rfam family "Metazoan signal recognition particle RNA". From Rfam's summary of the family: The signal recognition particle (SRP) is a universally conserved ribonucleoprotein. It is involved in the co-translational targeting of proteins to membranes. The eukaryotic SRP consists of a 300-nucleotide 7S RNA and six proteins: SRPs 72, 68, 54, 19, 14, and 9. Lineage: Eukaryota; Metazoa; Chordata; Mammalia; Primates; Galagidae. The record is from Ensembl.